UACGUAGGGGGCAAGCGUUGUCCGGAUUUAUUGGGCGUAAAGAGCGUGUAGGCGGCCUGGUAGGUCUGGUGUGAAAACUCGAGGCUUAACCUCGAGAUGUCAUCGGAAACCAUCUGGCUAGAGUCCGGAAGAGGAGAGUGGAAUUCCUGGUGUAGCGGUGAAAUGCGCAGAUAUCAGGAAGAACACCAAUGGCGAAAGCAGCUCUCUGGGACGGUACUGACGCUGAGACGCGAAAGCGUGGGGAGCGAACAGG
RNAcentral lists this ribosomal RNA (253 nucleotides) under uncultured bacterium. RNAcentral describes it as "partial 16S ribosomal RNA". It matches the Rfam family "Bacterial small subunit ribosomal RNA", at positions 524 to 776 of the family's 1533-position model. The record is from RNAcentral.